UUAUUCACUGCCAAAUUGAAAUAAUCUUCAGUAUUCCCAAAUGAGACACGCUUGUGCUGAAAAAUUGUUCAUGGCUUAUCUCAAAUUCAAGUUUAACUAGGUGCCCUGUAUUUUAGCUGGCAAGCCUACUUGAGGCCCAUGGUUCCACAUCUUGGGAACGUGGACCCGAGAGAAUGAAGGCGGCAUGUGCAAAGAAGGUGAGAAGAGAGAAAAUGGGACAGUGGAAAGAGAGAGACGGGCAGACAGACACAAGAAAGAGCGACAGAGAAAGGACAAGACAGCAAUAGAGAAUGAGUGAAUGAGAGAGAGACAGGGAGGGAGGGGGAGUCUGCUAGAGACAAAACAAGACAAAGAGAAAGAGCCACAGGUAGACCAACAGACACGCUCGAGAGCAUUCAAGGCCUGCGGUUCAGUGAUCCAAGGUCAGCCCCAUGCAUUCCUUCUGUACUUCGUUUGUUUACAGGCACCAAUAAAUUCCCCCUUCACUUCAACAUAAUAGCCACCCUUUCUUGAGCACUUGUGUGCUCCAGGCACUGGGCCAAGCACUUUGGAUGCACGAUCUCAUUUAUGUUGUUACAUCACAAUGGUUCUAUGAAGGUGUUAGGAAGAACUGAGGAACAGAGAAGUUCAAUAAUGUGCUCAAGGUCACACAGCCUGGAAGCAGCAGAGCUGUGGUUUGAACCCAGGCUGUCAGAUGCCAGAGUGCUGGACCACUAUGUGGAGUCACUGUCAUUCAUAACCAAGGAGGUCCUGAGUGGCACUCCAGUAGAGCAGAUUCAGCAGAAAGACCGGCUCACUGCUGGACUGCUGACCCCAGACCCUUGAGAGGCUGGAUGGCAUCCUAUGUGGGCUUGGGAGUCAGACCAAGCAGGAUCGAAUCCAACUUCUUACCUAUGGUGUGACUUUGGGGAAGUUCUUCACCUUCUCUGAGCCUCAGCUUCCUCUUCUGUAAAAUGGAGUUGAUAAUAAUAGUAGCUACAUCAUAGGGUUGAUAUGGGAACUUAAUUAAUUAAUGUGUAUGCACACACGCACGCAAAAAGCAGUUAGAUCGGGUAAGCAUUUAAGAAAUAUUUACAGAUAUUUUUAUUGUAUUCUGCUCAUCUCUGAUGCCCAGCAAGGCAUCAGAUUUGGCACAAAGGAAGUGCCCAUGGUACCUGGGUGGGUGAUGAUAAGACUGGACAAUAUUAACGAGAAUCCCAAUGACCAUUUAUCAACACCUACUGUGGACCAGGCAUUGUGCUGAGCACCUUGCACAUGGCUUCUCAGUCAACCCCCACAGCAACCCUGCCACGAUGGUAUUGCUAUCCCCCAUUUACAGACGAGAAAACAGGCUCCAAGAAGUCACGGGACAGAAAGGCUGCAGAGAGGGGGUCAGAGCUGGGAUCUCGAUCCCAGUUCAUGAAGAGAGGACACAGAUCUGUGUGUGUUUGCGUUAAUGACAAUGGGAAGCAGACGCAUUGCGCUGAGAUGUUUUCCUGUGCACUGAGUUUUGAGUGCUUCCCAUUCUCUUCACAAGUUCCUUCACGUCCCUCGCAGAUGGCCCAUGAGCACGCCUCUCCGUGCACUGUUAUCUCACAAGAGGGGCGGAGACCCACUUUAUGAAGGAGGCACAGAGAGGUUCAGGACUUCCCGAGGGCCACACUGGUGUCAGGAAUAGAGUAAGUUCUGAACCCAGCUUCAUGAGACUCCCAGUCCAGUCUCUGUCCCCUGUCCCCAAACUCUGACCCACAGAGAACCCCACAGAGCAUGACAUCCUUCAGAUCUCCCAAAGACACCCACUCUUCACCAUCCCCACUAACAGUGAACACACCCGUUGGGGCUCCGUGAGCACUCACCUGUCAUCUUGCAACAGCCUCCGACUGCAUCUGCUGUCUCCGGGUCCUCUCGCCUUCCCUAGGUUCUUCACAAGGCCCCCACCAGGUCAGCUUUCAGAAACACAGAUCUGAACCCAGGGCUCUUGACCAUGGCUUCAUGGUCUGGCCCCUGUUCAUCCCUCUGCCUCCUGGACUCUGCACGCUGACUGAUAAACCUUCCACAUGGCUCUCUCUGGCCUCCUUUGCACUUGCUCUUUCAUCUGGGUGGUACCACCUUCCUCACUCCUCCUUCAUCCCUGCUAAGUCAUCCAUUAAGUGUCAGUGACAUGUCACUUCCUCACGGAAGCCUUCCUUGCUUGGUUCAGGUGCUCUUCUUGGAUGUACCUCUGCUCAGAUCCUUCUCCCUCUCUGUUGAAAUCACCUUUUUACUCUCCCACUGAGUCAGCUCCACGAGGGCAGGGCCUGUGGCUGCCUGUUCACACUGCAUCCCCAGGGCCUGGCACAGUGUCUGGUACCUGGUAGGUGCUCAGUGAAAGGCUGGUGGAGGAAUGAGGGUUCCCUGAGGACAUUAUGCUUUAUUAAACUAAGCACCAGGCUCCGUUUGCUGGCACACAGUAGGCUCCCAUUACAUUGUCUGUUGAAGGGAUGAUGGAUGAAUAAAUGAAUACACAAACGCCAUGGCUCAACGCCUCCCCCCUCUGAUUUGUCCACCUCUCAGCUGCAGCAGUCUCUUGCAGAGUAAAAGGGAUCCCAGCUCCUUGUUUGAAUGCUGUGGGGUUUCGAGUAGAAAAAGAAAUACUGCUCCUUCAACGAGAAGAGUUUCAGGUGAUAGAGGCCCUUCUUGCUGGUGAAGACUGGAGGGAGAGCGGGGGCCUCAGCUCAGCUUCGGGGUGGCCUCAAUUGGCCCGGACUGACUAAUAAAGUGUGAAAUUGACUUUAUCCUCCACCAUGUCUCCCAGCCAGAGUGUCCCUGUAGCAUCUCCCUCUGCCACAACUGAUGCAGCACUGCGGCCGUCCCCUCUGUCGCUGGUAGACAGGCAGAUCAUCAACGCCCACGCAGCCCCAGCUGGCGCUCUGCAGAGCCCAUGAAGCUGUUUGGCCUCGGGCCAGGAUGGGCCUACAAAGCCAGAAGCAUCUGAUGUGGCAUGUCUGACGCACCUCCUAAGCCAGCCGCUGGCUGCUCCUGUCCCUGUUUACUCCUCUGGCACUGGCUUCUAAGGCAGGGGCGGGAGCUGGAGGGAGAGACAGCGUUAGAUUUCCCAGGAAGAAAAGGAUUCCAUGACUCUAAGAAGUCCUAAAACCAAUGAUCUAUCCAGCAGUCAUUCUCAAAGCUGCCUGUGCAUCGGGAUCAACUGGGUGACUUGUCCUCUCCCAUAGCCAGUAAGGCUGAAGAAGUCCUGAAGAAGUGCUGGACUUGCCCUUCAACAUCCAGAGGUGCCCUUCCAGGCUCUACUUCCCUCGUCCUCUGCUGGGCUGCCACCAGUUCACCGGGUUGCUGGGAGGACUGAUAACAGCAUGUGUGGUGGUUGACAUGUGCUGUUGUCUGCCCAUCACCCAUUUCCCCUGCAUCUAAUUACAGAAUGCCCCUUGUCCCUUAGGCACCCACCCUUUCCCACUCUCAAGUCAUGUGGUAUAAGCAACACUAACCCUCAUGGUACCCCCAAUUCUAAUGGGGUCUCUUCCCCUGCAUCCUGGGGUGUGUGACUUGGGCCUGUUCAAUCUCUGUGUUCCAUGCCUCUUGCCACAAGACUUGAUUUGAGAUGGACAACAAACCCAGUCUAUUCUAUAAGAGUCAAUUCCUGGACCUUGGGCUCAAACUCUUGGGGGAGAGAAAUUCUGUUUCUAGUAGGGUUGUCGAGCUGCAAGAUUUGAGUCUGGAGCUUUCAACAACCAUUUUGCAGCUUCCUAGGGGAAAGCUAGUCUGAGAAUGAAGUUAGCACAGAGCCAAGGGACCAAGACACAGAGACCCUAAGCUGCUGGAUCCAACUGGGCCUGAUGCCAGACAACCCUGUACAUCUCAGUCACAUGAACCAAUAAAUUUUCCUUUCUUGGUCAACCUGAUCUGAGUUGACAUUCUGCUCCUUGCAAUAAAAAAAAAAAUAACUAAUAUAGCAUGAGUUUUUGAAAAAGCUGAACUAUGUUCU
Long non-coding RNA from Equus asinus (donkey), 3958 nucleotides. The record is from Ensembl. Lineage: Eukaryota; Metazoa; Chordata; Mammalia; Perissodactyla; Equidae.